Molecule: ribosomal RNA, 253 nt
Filed under: uncultured bacterium
Lineage: Bacteria
Description: partial 16S ribosomal RNA
Rfam family: Bacterial small subunit ribosomal RNA
Source: RNAcentral
UACGGAGGGAGCUAGCGUUGUUCGGAAUUACUGGGCGUAAAGCGCACGUAGGCGGCUUUUUAAGUCAGGGGUGAAAUCCCGGGGCUCAACCCCGGAACUGCCCUUGAAACUGGGGAGCUAGAAUCUUGGAGAGGCGAGUGGAAUUCCGAGUGUAGAGGUGAAAUUCGUAGAUAUUCGGAAGAACACCAGUGGCGAAGGCGACUCGCUGGACAAGUAUUGACGCUGAGGUGCGAAAGCGUGGGGAGCAAACAGG